This 466-nucleotide ribosomal RNA is filed under the name uncultured bacterium. RNAcentral describes it as "partial 16S ribosomal RNA". It matches the Rfam family "Bacterial small subunit ribosomal RNA", at positions 28 to 505 of the family's 1533-position model. The record is from RNAcentral.
GACGAACGCUGGCGGCGUGCUUAACACAUGCAAGUCGAACGGAAAGGCCCUGCUUUUGUGGGGUGCUCGAGUGGCGAACGGGUGAGUAACACGUGAGUAACCUGCCCUUGACUUUGGGAUAACUUCAGGAAACUGGGGCUAAUACCGGAUAGGAGCUCCUGCUGCAUGGUGGGGGUUGGAAAGUUUCGGCGGUUGGGGAUGGACUCGCGGCUUAUCAGCUUGUUGGUGGGGUAGUGGCUUACCAAGGCUUUGACGGGUAGCCGGCCUGAGAGGGUGACCGGCCAAAUGGGGACUGGGACACGCCCCAGCCCCCGAGGGGGGGAAGCGGGGGGGAAUAUUGCAAAAGGGGGGGAAGCCUGGUGCAGCAACCCCGGGGGGGGGAUGACGGCCUUCGGGUUGAAAACCGUUUUCGCCUGUGACGAAGCGGGAGUGACGGUAAUGGGUAAAGAAGCACCGGCUAACUACG